CUUGCUCUUACUGUGACAUCCCUUGCCAAGGGAUAUCCAGACAGGGCAAA
This 50-nucleotide microRNA precursor is filed under the name Ciona intestinalis (vase tunicate). RNAcentral's name for it is "microRNA cin-mir-4071 precursor". Lineage: Eukaryota; Metazoa; Chordata; Ascidiacea; Phlebobranchia; Cionidae. The record is from miRBase by way of RNAcentral.